UACGUAGGCAGCGAGCGUUGUUCGGAGUUACUGGGCGUAAAGGGUGUGUAGGCGGUUGUUUAAGUUUGGUGUGAAAUCUCCCGGCUCAACUGGGAGGGUGCGCCGAAUACUGAAUGACUUCGAGUGCGGGAGAGGAGAGUGGAAUUCCUGGUGUAGCGGUGAAAUGCGUAGUUAUCAGGAGGAACACCGGUGGUGUAGACGGCUCUCUGGACCGUAACUGACGCUGAGACACGAAAGCGUGGGUAGCAAACAGG
Molecule: ribosomal RNA, 254 nt
Filed under: uncultured bacterium
Lineage: Bacteria
Description: partial 16S ribosomal RNA
Rfam family: Bacterial small subunit ribosomal RNA
Source: RNAcentral